CUCCCUUUCCUUUCUUCUCUCCAACUCUCUCCAACCGGUAAUCAGUCUUCUCUAUACGUAUACUCAAUGCUUCUUCUUUUCUAGGCAAACGUGGGCUGCUCAUAUUAAUUUGGUAAUACACAAAUGGGCCAGAUAUUGUCCGUGAAUACCUGGCUCCUUUACACUCAUAUCUCCCCUGUUUUGAGGGGUCUAUAAACCUGAGAAUAUUUCUCAUAUUUCAUUGCCAGCAAGAUUUCAGAUACCAUUCAGGCUCUGCCAGUCAGAUGCAUUGGUGAGAGAUUUGGAAGGCAGAAAGGACAAGGCAGUUAUCAUAGGCUUUCUACUUUGUUAAUGGGUGAGGGGCACCCUUUGUCAUUUCAUCCCAUGGAGCUCAAGACUAUGAAGUCAGCAGAGUUCCUGCGUCCUCCAGAUCUGGGGAAGCAGAAGCUCUUCGGUGAUUUGUGUAAAGUUCUGGCAGGCACCAUCCUGCUCAUUGGCAAAGAUAUGGAGGGGUCAAAUAAUGUUAGAGUAAAAAUGAACACAUUUUUAUGCCUCAACUUCGCCCUUCAUUUUAUGAAGGAAGUUACAUAGCUCAGGAACUUGGAGGAAAAUAAGGUGUUUUUAAACAGGAAAUAGAUGUUGACUAUUAGACCAGGAGUUCAUUUUUUUAAUGGCACCACUUUUAUCUGUGACUCAAGACAGUUGGCAUUUCAGUAACAUACUAAUAUAUUAUAAUUGGGGCUUAAAGAGAUAAUUAUAUUGGAUAAUUAAAUGCUUUUGAAAUCAUCUUAGGGUGAUGUUUCUGUUCUUUUUUUCUCAUUUGGUAUUAUAUUAAUGUAAUAUUAAUAGAAAUUUCAAAUGUGUUACUUAAUACACAUUGAUUAAAAAGGGAAAAUUAAAGAGGAACACUUUGAAUUCCUUAUAUAAAUAUAUUAGGAAACGUUUUAAAAAUUUAUUGAGUUUUAAGAAUGAUUCUAAUCUGCACACUAAAAUGGAAAAUAGAUUUAUCCAGAUAAUUGGAUAAAAAAUACGCUCACGGAUAUAUCUAGAUAUUUAAAUCAAAUCUUUGAGGACUUUCAAAAAUUAUUCUCACUUUUUCCCUUUCUUUUUUCUUUGUUGUUUGUUUUUUGGGUUUUUUGGCUGCCUCCACAGCAUACAGAAGUUCUGGGGCCAGGGAUCAAACCCAUGCCAUAGCAGCAACCUGAGCCAUAGCAGUGACAAUGCUAAAUCCUUAACCCGAUGAGCUACCAGGGAUCUCCAGUUUUCUUUUUCUUAAAAAAUUUGAAUUAAAAACUUUAAUUUAUUAAGUGCACAAAGAAUAUAUGAGCACAUUCACAUUACAAAAAUUUGAAACAAUGCAAACCAAGCAAAACUCCCCCAACAGAGUUUCUCUCUCCUCUGAGAGAGGAUGUCAGCACACUGACCCAUGCCACCAUCAUGCUUCUCAGCCCUUUCCAGCAGCCACACUAUGUCAGCGUUACCUUUAUUUUAACGAUGUUAUGGUUGCUAACAAUUUUUGGUAACUUUUUCAAUAUUUUAUAACCUUAAUUAUGUCUUUUGCUUUGUAGGUGGAUUCUAAAAGAUGAAAAGUAAUAAACAACACUUUAUCAUGACUAUAAAUAUUGUUCACUGCAGAGAUAAACAAUGUGAUGUAUUUCCUUCUCUGUCACAAUACUGUUGAUAAUCAAUAUUACAAUGAAUUCUUCCUAUUCUAGUCUCCAACUGCUCAAAAUCAUGCUGUGUUAAAAUUAACAUCACACCUUUUAUUAUAGAGUUUUGCUCUUAUUUUUCCUGUUGUUUUUAAUUACCUUCAUCUCACUAUUUUUUUUUUUUUGCAGCUAUGUGUAACAGUCCAUGGCAUAGAUGUGCUAUAAUUUACUUCAUGUUUAUAUAUAUAUAUACCUAUAUACACAUAUAUAUAUAUAUAUACACACACAUACACACUUUUUAGGGACACACCCACAGCAUAUGCAAGUUCUCAGGCUAGGAGUGGAAUCAGAGCUGCAGCUGCCAGCCUAUGCCACAGCCACAGCAACACAGGAUCCAAGCUACAUCUGUAACCUACACCACAACUUUCUGAUAUGCUGGAUCCCCAACCCACUGAGCAAGGCCAUUUACUGAACUUUCCUCCUCAUGGAUACUAGCUGGUUCCUCACUGCUUAGCCACAACAGGAACUCCUCAUGUUCCAAUAUUGUUGAAUAUUUAACUUUUUUUUUUCCUACUAUGCAUAAUGCUGUUAUCUAUUUAUUUACUUUUGCUUUUUAGGCCUGCACCUGUGGCAUAUGGAGGUUCCCAGGCUAUGGGUCCAAUCGGAGCCCUGCCAGCCAUGGCCACAGCCACAGCAACGCCAGAUCUGAGCCAUGUCUUCGACCUACACCACAACUCAUGGCAAGGCCUGAUGCCUAACCUGCUGAGUGAGGCCAGGGAUGAAACCCACAACCUCCUGCUUCCUAGUUGGAUUGGUUUCCACUGCGCCAUGACAGACAUUCCUAAUUUGCUUUUUCUUGAUUAUUAGUAAGGGUAAGCAUUUUUUCCUAAGCUUAUUGGCACUUGGUAUUUCCUCUUUUUUUUUUUUUUUUUUCUUUUGGUCUUUUCUAGGGCCGCUUCCACGGCAUGUGGAGGUACCCAGGCUAGGGGUCUAAUCAGAGCUGUAGCCACCAGCCUACGCCAGAGCCACAGCAAUGCGGGAUCCGAGCUGUGUCUGCAACCUACACCGAAGGUCACGGCAACGCCGGAUCCUUUAACCCACUGAGCAAGGCCAGGGACUGAACCCGCAACCUCAUGGUUCUUAGUCGGAUUCGUUAACCACUGAGCCACAGUGGGAACUCCUGGUAUUUCCUCUUUAAUGGAUUGUUUUGUUUUUGUUUUUUGCUUUUUAAAAAAACAUUUAGAUUCCUUAUAUAUUUUGAUUGUUAAUUCUUUUCUUCUAUUGGACAGGUUUAAAAUAUAUUCUCCAAGCAUGUUGAUUUUCUUUGAACUUUGCAGUGUCUUCCCUCAAAGAGAAGUUUUAGCUUUGCUAUAUUUAAAAAUCAGUUUUUUUCCUUUAUAGGUUUUGUACUGUGAUUUGCUUAAGAUGUGCUUCCAUAGCCUUAGGAAAUAAUCAUACUGUCCUGUAUGUUUGCAAAUACAUUUAUAGAUUUUCUUUUUACAUUUAGCUCUUUAACCCAUUAAAAACAUUUUGUUUGUAAAUGGUGGGGUCAUUUUCUUCAUUCUGUAUGUGCAUAUGAUAAACUAUAAACAUUUUCCAACUCAUGAGCAGAUAAGAGAUAUGAUAACAUCCUUUCCUUGUGCCUUUUAAAUCAUGCCUUCCCACUUCUUAUUUUUCUCCUACACCUAAGGCAACAUUAGUCAGUGUGAUUCAUUUCAGCAGACCUUUCUAAUGUUAUGAGCAAUUCCACCACCUACUAAAUACCUCCUUUCUCUCUUCAGAAGACAUCACUAGGGCUUGCCUAUAUCCUGUUCUCUGCUUGGAACACAGAAGACACACUGAUCAGAUCUCAUGUGAAGGUUGGGGCUGUGUAACAAGUUUUGGCUAGUAACUUCUAAGUGGAAGUGGCAUGUCAUUUACACAUCACUUCAGGCUGAGGUGUAAACUGCUUGAAACUUGCAGCUUCUUUUCUGAGCCCUGCAUCCUGGGAUGGUGCAGGGAGAUAGGAGAGGAAGAGUGGGCACAAAGAAGCAGCCUGUGUACUGAGAACAGCUGCCCUGGCAAUUUGCUCAACCUACAGUGGACAUGUUGUAAGAGAGAAAUACAGUGUUAAGUCACUGAGAUAUUUGGGCUUGUUAAUUGUAAUAUCAAAAAGCAGACAAACAAUGAUACCAUUUUGCAGUCAACCCUGAUUCUGCUCUUUUUCAAAUUUUUAAAAAAGUUUUUAUGGCUGCACCCAUGGCAUAUGGAAGUUUACAGGCCAGGGAUUGAAUCUAAGCUGCAGCUGCAACCUACGCCAAACUGUGGCAACACCAGUUUCUUUAACCCUCUGCACCUGGCUGGGGAUUGAACCCAUGCCUCUGCAGCAAACCGAGACACUGCAGUUGGAUUCUUAAUCUACUGCACCACAGUGGGAACACCUAUCUUUUUUUUUUUUUUAAGUUGACACAUGGAAGUUCUGGUACUUUAUCUUUCAAAACAAAUCACUUGCAAAAUAACUUGCAACUGAUUUGAAGAACACUGAUACCAUUCACUCAUUACUUAGGUAUAUUUAUUGAAUAUAUACCCAGAACCAGAUUCUGUGAAUAAGAUGAAAAUACAAGAGCUUCUUGCAUCCUGGAAGUUGGAAGUCAUCCCGUAGAAGAGGCCGUGCAGGGAAUUAAGGUUCCAGAAUUAAUUCCCUAAGUUUGAGUCCUGGCUCUUGCCACUCACUAGCUCAGUAAACUUAAGCAAGUUAAUUAACCUUUCAGUGCCUCAUUUCUUCAUCAAUAAAAUUAAGAAUAAAUGAGUUAAUGCAUGUAAAAUAUUUUUGACAAACAAUAGCACUUAACAAAUAAGAGUUAUUAUCACUAUUAAGAACUUCAGCCUGAAAUACACCAGCUGCCUUAAGGGUAUACAGAGCUAUAGUCUCAAAAUAUGGAGCCAACAUAACCAUAUCAUAUCUCCAGUCUAGCAAUUUGCCUUAUGCCUCAGUGUAGUGUACUCAUCAUUAGAAAACUAGCAGAAAAGUCCUAAGGCAGUAAGAAGCAGGGAUUAUGAAAAGUACCUUGUCUGUCAUCCCUCUAUUUUUAAUGUUUAAUUUUUAAUGUUCCAGGUCAUCUGACAUAACAAAAGAUACAAUCUAUUUUUAGAUGGCCUAUAAAAGAGUGAUAAGUCUAGUUUAUGGACUCUGAAAUUCUUAGGACUAUAUUACAAGAACCUUGUAUAUUUAGCUUAUAUGGAUACAUAUCACAUAAAUAAACAUUUACUUAAAAUUGUGUAGGCAGUCACACACUUUCUAUAGAGGGUGUCAGAUUUGUUUUGAACCCUGAACUUAACAUUUAUCUGUUACCCAAGAUCACAGAACUAGUCAGUAGCAGAGUCAAGAUUAGAAUCAUGAAAUCAGCAAAUGAUCUUUCCAUAACAACUCAGUCUUCUAGAGGAAAUAACCACCUUUGACUCACUAGAGCUGCAGUCAACUCGGAAAAGAUAGUAAUAUAUUACACAUGCACAUAUUUUUAUUGCUAGACCGUAUAAUCUUAUCUUCAACUGAGGUUUCAAUAUUUUCUCUGUAAAUACACACCACUUCCUUUGUGCACCACUAUAGCUAAAUUAUUAAUAAACAUAGUAGAAGGAAAAGUCUUUGGUAGACCUGUAGAUCUAAUAUUAGGUCAACAACAGAAUAUCACUCCUUUCCUGCUAUAAAAAACUGCUGUACUUUUGCAUUAUUAUAGCCCCUUUUAAACCACUAAUCAAAUCCCUGAGGGAAAGGGAACUAACAUUUAUUGUGAUGCUAAAAACAUUUAUAUGCUAGGAACUAUGGAAGAGUCUUAACAUAAACACAGACAUUCAACAAAUACAAAUUAAUUUAAAUAUAUACAUUAUGCAUACAUUUAUUUCAGUUUCAUAAGACACACAAAAAAAGCCCACAGAAAAGUGUCUCAAGGAAAAAACUUGCCACCUUUUCAUCAUUUUUAUUGGUGCUGGUCUGAACUUUGGUUUAACAGAAUCACUGAACUGUAACAUGUUGCCUCCAAAGCCAAACCUCUGGGUUUGGGUGUUUUGUGUAUAUAUGUUGAUUAUAAUUAAUAUGUGAUUGUUGUCAGAAUAUGACAUAUGACUAGCAAACUUUUUGCUCCCCUCUUCAUCACCCAAGUCCUCAGGGAGUUUUCCCUGAAGCCCAGGGCAUUUGUGUGUCAUGGCACAAAGUUAAGCUUAAUUAGUUAAAAAAAAAAAAAGCUCUUGAGUCAUUUUAAAAAAGCAAAUUAAAACCGAGGUAAUAACGUCACUUCUGCUAUUUCUUAUUAGCUCACUUCUUGUUCAAUUUAUCUAAAUAUUGGUUUCUAAAAAUAAGAUUUUAUUAUUUUUCUGAGCCUGCUUGAGACUUUUCUUGGUGUUGAAGCAAAUGCCAUCUGACAAACAGCAAGUGGGCUAUUUAGAUUACAAUUGAAGAGUCCGAAGUCAUCUACAGUUCUGAAAAUCUAUGAUUUUAUUUCAAGUAGUGUUGUAGAUGCUAAAACAAUACACAUGCAGUUGGCAGGUCCAACUCUCUACCUCUAUGGGGAACAUGUUAACAUAAAAGUUUUAUUAAGCGUCAGCUCUUUCUGGGAGAGUAAAACAGAAUAUACUGAUUCAAAUGUAUAGUCAGUCAACCAAUGAUAAUUUAGAAUACAAGGUUCAUCUAAGAUCUAUUUUUAGCUGGUUUUGAAUAUCAACCCAAUGGAGCUAAUAUGGAAGGCUUAGAAAUCAAAUGUAGUAUUUUCAUUUUUUAUUCUUAAAUAAAUGUAGAUAAAAUAUUUCUAACUCACCUCAGUUUCUCAUUAAUCUUUAUGUCUCCUAUAUCAAGGAAUAAAGUCAAUGAGUCACAGACAGAGAAGUAACUUAGAGUCUAUGUUAUAUUUAAAGGUAGAUAGUAAUGAAAUUUAACUUCUCUUUAUGAUUAUAGUAAAAUGAAGAUUAUGUCUAUUAUUAUUUAAAGGAUAAAAGAGAAAACAAUGCUUUUGAGACCUAAAAAUUUUUUUUAAAUUUUUUAUUAUUUGUGUGUGUGUGUGUUUUUGCCAUUUCUUGGGCCAUU
This 6681-nucleotide long non-coding RNA is filed under the name Sus scrofa (pig). RNAcentral describes it as "lncRNA (ENSSSCG00000041195.1)". Lineage: Eukaryota; Metazoa; Chordata; Mammalia; Artiodactyla; Suidae. The record is from RNAcentral.